Molecule: transfer RNA, 70 nt
Filed under: Camelus bactrianus (Bactrian camel)
Lineage: Eukaryota; Metazoa; Chordata; Mammalia; Artiodactyla; Camelidae
Also listed under: 2 other names
Rfam family: tRNA
About the family: Transfer RNA (tRNA) molecules are approximately 80 nucleotides in length. Their secondary structure includes four short double-helical elements and three loops (D, anti-codon, and T loops).
Source: Rfam by way of RNAcentral
GGGUAUAGCUCAGUGGUAGAGUGUGUGCUCAGCAUGCAUGAGGUUCUGGGUUCAAGACCUAGUACCUCCA